This 253-nucleotide ribosomal RNA is filed under the name uncultured bacterium. RNAcentral's name for it is "partial 16S ribosomal RNA". It matches the Rfam family "Bacterial small subunit ribosomal RNA", at positions 524 to 776 of the family's 1533-position model. The record is from RNAcentral.
UACGUAGGGUGCGAGCGUUGUCCGGAAUUACUGGGCGUAAAGAGCUCGUAGGUGGUUUGUCGCGUUGUCCGUGAAAACUCACAACUCAAUUGUGGGCGUGCGGGCGAUACGGGCAGACUGGAGUACUGCAGGGGAGACUGGAAUUCCUGGUGUAGCGGUGGAAUGCGCAGAUAUCAGGAGGAACACCGUUGGCGAAGGCGGGUCUCUGGGCAGUAACUGACGCUGAGGAGCGAAAGCGUGGGGAGCGAACAGG